UAAGGAAUAUUGGUCAAUGGACGCAAGUCUGAACCAGCCAUGCCGCGUGAAGGAUGAAGGUCCUCUGGACUGUAAACUUCUUUUGUGUGGGAAGAAAUCCUUGAAUUCUUUCGAGGUUGACGGUACCACAAGAAUAAGCACCGGCUAACUCCGUGCCAGCAGCCGCGGUAAUACGGAGGGUGCAAGCGUUAUCCGGAUUCACUGGGUUUAAAGGGUGCGUAGGUGGGUCUGUAAGUCCGUGGUGAAAUCUCCAAGCUUAACUUGGAAACUGCCAUGGAUACUAUAGGUCUUGAAUACCGUGGAGGUGAGCGGAAUAUGUCAUGUAGCGGUGAAAUGCUUAGAUAUGACAUAGAACACCAAUUGCGAAGGCAGCUCACUACACGAAUAUUGACACUGAGGCACGAAAGCGUGGGGAUCAAA
RNAcentral lists this ribosomal RNA (420 nucleotides) under uncultured bacterium. RNAcentral describes it as "bacterial SSU rRNA". It matches the Rfam family "Bacterial small subunit ribosomal RNA", at positions 355 to 772 of the family's 1533-position model. The record is from RNAcentral.